Molecule: ribosomal RNA, 502 nt
Filed under: uncultured Rhizobium sp.
Lineage: Bacteria; Pseudomonadati; Pseudomonadota; Alphaproteobacteria; Hyphomicrobiales; Rhizobiaceae
Description: bacterial SSU rRNA
Rfam family: Bacterial small subunit ribosomal RNA
Source: RNAcentral
UUUUGCUACGGAAUAACGCAGGGAAACUUGUGCUAAUACCGUAUGUGUCCUUCGGGAGAAAGAUUUAUCGGCAAGAGAUGAGCCCGCGUUGGAUUAGCUAGUUGGUGGGGUAAAGGCCUGCCAAGGCGACGAUCCAUAGCUGGUCUGAGAGGAUGAUCAGCCGCAUUGGGACUGAGACACGCCCCAAACUCCUACGGGAGGCAGCAGUGGGGAAUAUUGGACAAUGGGCGCAAGCCUGAUCCAGCCAUGCCGCGUGAGUGAUGAAGGCCCUAGGGUUGUAAAGCUCUUUCACCGGAGAAGAUAAUGACGGUAUCCGGAGAAGAAGCCCCGGCUAACUUCGUGCCAGCAGCCGCGGUAAUACGAAGGGGGCUAGCGUUGUUCGGAAUUACUGGGCGUAAAGUUAAGUCGAGAUCGAUCAGUCAGGGGGGAAAUCCCAGGGCUCAAGCCUGGAACUGCCUUUGAUACUGUCGAUCUGGAGUAUGGAAGAGGUGAGUGGAAUUCC